AUUGAACGCUGGCGGCAUGCCUUACACAUGCAAGUCGAACGGCAGCACGGUUGCUUGCUCCUGUUGGCGAGUGGCGAACGGGUGAGUAAUACAUCGGAACGUACCUUUUCGUUUUGGAUAACGCAGCGAAAGUUGCGCUUAUACCCCAUACGCCCUGAGGGGGAAAGCGGGGGACCGUAAGGUUUCGCGCGAUUAGAGCUGCCGAUGUCUGUUUAGCUUGUUGGUGAGGUAAAAGCUCACCAGGGCGAUGAUCAGUAGCUGGUCUGAGAGGACGAUCAGCCAAUCUGAGAGUGAGACACGGCCCAGGCUCCGAGGGGAGGAAGCGGGGGGAAAUUUUGGCAAAUGGGGGAAACCUUGAUCAAGCAAAGCCGGGUGAGUGAAGAAGGCCUUCGGGUGGUAAAGCUGUUUUGUCGGUGAAGAAAGAGCGGCUCUAACACAGUGUGCGAAUGACGGUACCUGAAGAAUAAGCACCGGCUAACUACGUG
This 485-nucleotide ribosomal RNA is filed under the name uncultured bacterium. Its description in RNAcentral is "partial 16S ribosomal RNA". It matches the Rfam family "Bacterial small subunit ribosomal RNA", at positions 30 to 507 of the family's 1533-position model. The record is from RNAcentral.